This 367-nucleotide ribosomal RNA is filed under the name Picochlorum oklahomense. RNAcentral's name for it is "SSU rRNA". It matches the Rfam family "Eukaryotic small subunit ribosomal RNA", at positions 20 to 388 of the family's 1831-position model. Lineage: Eukaryota; Viridiplantae; Chlorophyta; Trebouxiophyceae. The record is from RNAcentral.
GUAGUCAUAUGCUUGUCUCAAAGAUUAAGCCAUGCAUGUCUAAGUAUAAACUGCUUUAUACUGUGAAACUGCGAAUGGCUCAUUAAAUCAGUUAUAGUUUAUUUGAUGGUACCUACUUACUCGGAUACCCGUAGUAAUUCUAGAGCUAAUACGUGCGUACAUCCCGACUUCUGGAAGGGACGUAUUUAUUAGAUAAAAGGCCGACCGGGCUUGCCCGACUCGCGGUGACUCAUGAUAACUUCACGAAUCGCAUGGCCUCGCGCCGGCGAUGUUUCAUUCAAAUUUCUGCCCUAUCAACUUUUGAUGGUAGGAUAGAGGCCUACCAUGGUGGUAACGGGUGACGGAGAAUUAGGGUUCGAUUCCGGAG